RNAcentral lists this long non-coding RNA (231 nucleotides) under Mus musculus (house mouse). Its description in RNAcentral is "long non-coding RNA chr11:32910372-32910603". Lineage: Eukaryota; Metazoa; Chordata; Mammalia; Rodentia; Muridae. The record is from RNAcentral.
GAGGAAAUGGCUAGUGAUGAGCUCAAAGAGAUGAGGAAAAACCUGACCAAAGAAGCCAUCAGGGAGCAUCAGAUGGCCAAGACUGGUGGGACCCAGACUGACUUGUUCACUUGUGGCAAAUGUAAAAAGAAGAACUGCACUUAUACACAGGUGCAAACUCGUAGUGCUGAUGAACCAAUGACAACAUUUGUUGUAUGUAAUGAAUGUGGAAAUCGGUGGAAGUUCUGUUGA